This is a non-coding RNA of Podarcis lilfordi (Lilford's wall lizard), 77 nucleotides long. The record is from the annotation of a GenBank genome assembly. Lineage: Eukaryota; Metazoa; Chordata; Lepidosauria; Squamata; Lacertidae.
UCCCAGGGAUAGCGAAGUUGGUAGAGCAUGAGACUCUUAAUCUCAGGGUUGUGGGUUGGAGCCCCAUGCUGGGGGAA